Molecule: long non-coding RNA, 1157 nt
Organism: Serinus canaria (Common canary)
Lineage: Eukaryota; Metazoa; Chordata; Aves; Passeriformes; Fringillidae
Exons: 6
Source: RefSeq, a predicted model, not a curated record
AUUUAUUUUUUUUAUCUUUAGGGCAUUUUUUUUUUGCUAACCAAGUGCUUACAGCAACCAAAUGAUAUUCAUUAUCUCUGGUCGUGAGUCAGCACGUGUCUAGGGGGAUAAACUAGUGGAAAGCAAAGACUGUAAUUUCUGUUAUGAAAUGGUGAUGGACACUACAGACAAGUAUUUUGAGGCAAUAUCUUGGUACCCGUCAUGGCUCCAAAUCUCAACUUCUGUUUCUAAAAUCUGAUUUACUGCAUUUGCUUUGUUUUCCUGCCCAGAAGAAAACCAGACAGUUUUCAGAAGAUGAGGAUUUUGCUGAAUCUUGCAAGGCUGAGCCCUGUGUGAGCAAACAGAAAAGGAGGGAACAUUUUCUUUUUCGCUCUGUGUGGACAAGCAACAUUUCUGAAUCUCAGAUGUGGCUGAAGGAGGAUCUGAUUGUGGCCAAAUUUGGUGGAUGCCAGACCCCAAAAAGCCCUUCUGUUUCCUUGGUCUAGGGCCAAACUACCACUGUGUAGAUCUUGCCAGUUUGUACAUCAAGAUGGGUGCCAAGAACAUGCCCACGGUGUUUUUGCUGACAGAUGCCCAAGUUCCAGAUGAAUGCUUUCUUGUGCUGAUUAAUGACUUGUUGGCAUCAGGAGAGGCUCCAGAUCUGUUCAGGGAUGAAGACAUGAAGGUCAUAACUGCAGCAGCUAGAAAAGAUGUCUGAGCCCUGGGCCUGGUGGACAUCAGCAAACACUCCUGGAGGUGAUUCCUGAGGCUGUGUCUGCAAUAGAAAACCCAUCCAAAAUGCAGCAUAGCCGUGAAACGAAGAUGAAGGAGAGGCCAAGGGGUGUCUGCUGCUGCUUCCAGGGAACCGGCGGGCGCUGUCCCUCCCUGGGGCCGUGCGGGGAGCGGGGCUGCGGGAAGCGCCGCUCCAGCUCCCGGGCUGCCGCUCCCGCGGCGCUCCGGCGGCACACGGGUGCCUCCUGUAGGACUGCGCGGGAGGGAGAGAUGCUUGCAAAUAAACCCGGCAUUUGUAUGUUCCAUCAGCUGCUCCUGUUAUUUUAACAGACUUCUAGUGCCAUCAGGAUAGUUAUUGGUUGUCUGGUGAGCUGGGAGGGAUAUCCAAGUGCAUUUAUUUUUGAUGUGAUACCAACUUCCUUAUUUGAAAGAAACAGAUAUGACUG